AAGUCGUAACAAGGUUUCCGUAGGUGAACCUGCGGAAGGAUCAUUAACGAAUUACUGGAGAGUUGAUGCUGGCAAUAAACUAAUUGCAAGUGCUCACUGUCUUAAUUUCAUCUGCACCUGUGCACUCUUGUAUACAUGCUUGAAAGGGGCCCAAGUGGCUUGGUUCAGGCAUGUAGACAAAUCUCACAAACUCUUUAUAAUAAAUCCUGAAUGUUCUUUUGCUGCAUAGGCAAAAACUUUAUAACAA
RNAcentral lists this unclassified non-coding RNA (247 nucleotides) under plant metagenome. Its description in RNAcentral is "partial contains small subunit ribosomal RNA and internal transcribed spacer 1". The stretch from base 1 to 46 matches the Rfam family "Eukaryotic small subunit ribosomal RNA", at positions 1786 to 1831 of the family's 1831-position model. The record is from RNAcentral.